AUGGAGGCCGAGCUCCGAAACGCCGUACACCACAUCAGGGGCAAAAUCAUCCUUUCUAGGUGUCGUUUAACACUGUUAAUACUAGUCUUUGCUCUAAAGAUUGACAUGAUGAAAGCCUACGAUCGGGUGGAGUGGAGCUACCUCCAUGGUUGCUUGAGCAGACUUGGUUUUGCCCCGUCUUGGAUUGCUACGGUUAUGAGGUGUGUCACAAUUGUCAGAUAUGUUGUCAGAGUUAAUGGGGAGCUCACAACCCCGGUGGUGCCCUCUCGAGGCAUCCAUCAAGGGGAUCCGAUCAGCCCAUACCUUUUCCUCUUGUGCACUAAAGGUUUGUCUGGUCUGUUACUUGACAAGGAGAAUCGUGGCGAGCUACAUGGGAUUCGUAACGGGCGUCAUGGCCCAUCUAUCUCACAUCUCCUUUUUGUGGAUGAUAGCAUCUUCUUUGCUAAGAGUGACAAUCAGAGUGUGUGCGCGUUGGAGGCUACCCUCAACUCCUACUGUGCCGGUUCGGGCCAAGCUAUCAAUAAGGACAAGUCCUCGCUGUUCUUUGGCAACCACUGUCCUGAUCUUGUCAAGAACAGAGUGAAGAACCAGUUGGGUAUUUACAAUGAGACGUUGUUAAGGCAUAUCUCUCUCGAUGUAGUUUUGGUGACUGAUGACAACACAUUUGCGGACUAA
Molecule: ribosomal RNA, 675 nt
Filed under: Triticum aestivum (bread wheat)
Lineage: Eukaryota; Viridiplantae; Streptophyta; Magnoliopsida; Poales; Poaceae
Description: partial small subunit ribosomal RNA
Source: RNAcentral